AACGAACGCCGGCGGCAUGCCUAACACAUGCAAGUCGAACGAGACCUUCGGGUCUAGUGGCGCACGGGUGCGUAACGCGUGGGAACCUGCCCUUAGGUUCGGAAUAACUCCCCGAAAGGGGUGCUAAUACCGGAUAAUGUCUUCGGACCAAAGAUUUAUCGCCUUUGGAUGGGCCCGCGUUGGAUUAGCUAGUUGGUAGGGUAAAAGCCUACCAAGGCGACGAUCCAUAGCUGGUCUGAGAGGAUGAUCAGCCACACUGGGACUGAGACACGGCCCAGACUCCGACGGGAGGCAGCAGUGGGGAAGAUUGGACAAUGGGCGAAAGCCUGAUCCAGCAAUGCCGCGUGAGUGAUGAAGGCCUUAGGGUUGUAAAGCUCUUUUACCCGGGAUGAUAAUGACAGUACCGGGAGAAUAAGCUCCGGCGACUCCGUG
RNAcentral lists this ribosomal RNA (432 nucleotides) under uncultured bacterium. RNAcentral's name for it is "partial 16S ribosomal RNA". It matches the Rfam family "Bacterial small subunit ribosomal RNA", at positions 29 to 507 of the family's 1533-position model. The record is from RNAcentral.